CGCUCGAAGAUGACGAGAUGGACCACCUCGUCGACUGGGUGAGGAGCCUCGGAUGAUCACGUGGUGGUGCACUGCACUGGCCCGACCGUGGACCUGGGAGUGGAUCCCAUAUCCGGGAAUUUGGGCUGCGGCCAUCCUUCCCAUGGUGGCCUACGGGCGGUCGGUCCACCGACAUGACGGUCCCACCGACUGGAAAAAGGUCGCCCAGUUCAUGGCCGGCGUCGUUGUGUUUUGGAUCGCCUCCGAUUGGCCCAUAGGGACUCUGGGUG
Molecule: unclassified non-coding RNA, 269 nt
Filed under: uncultured bacterium
Lineage: Bacteria
Description: contains 16S-23S intergenic spacer region
Source: RNAcentral